AAUACUGCAGUACCUUUGAUUUCAGCUGGCUUGCCAUUGGCUGAUUUUAGCUGGCUUGUCAUUCGUUGAUUUCACGUUUUGAUUUUUGAUUGGCUGUAUGGAUUCAAAACGGCUUAUGUCACAGCAUAUAUGUGAUGUAGCAUCACUGCCAAUGCACCAUUCCAUUAGUAGGUCCCUGUUUAUAUUCAAUGAAACAUGAUAAUAAACAGUGAUAAUACUAUCCUGAUUAUCUUCAUACUGAAUAUUGGAAACACGUAAUCAUUGUUCAGUUUUGGAUCUUCCAGUAACCUGUGCUAGUUCAGCAUUAUGAUUAUCCCUUUUCUUCUUCAAGCUUUGAUGUGCCCUAUAUCCAUGAUUGUGGCAGUAAAAACAUUCAAUGUGUUUUACUUCAUUAGUUUUAA
This 401-nucleotide unclassified non-coding RNA is filed under the name Bombus terrestris (buff-tailed bumblebee). RNAcentral's name for it is "misc RNA ENSBTSG00005032996.1". Lineage: Eukaryota; Metazoa; Arthropoda; Insecta; Hymenoptera; Apidae. The record is from RNAcentral.